Molecule: ribosomal RNA, 342 nt
Filed under: uncultured fungus
Lineage: Eukaryota; Fungi
Description: SSU rRNA
Rfam family: Eukaryotic small subunit ribosomal RNA
Source: RNAcentral
UCUCAAAGAUUAAGCCAUGCAUGUCUAAGUAUAAACAACUUUAUACUGUAAAACUGCGAACGGCUCAUUAUAUCAGCAAUAAUUUAUUUGAUGAUUUCUUACUACAUGGAUAACUGUAGUAAUUCUAGAGCUAAUACAUGCGCAAAGUCCUAACUCGCGAGGGGAGGGAUGUAUUUAUUAGAUACAAAACCAAUGCGGGUUCUGCUCGCCAUUGUGUUGAAUCAUAGUAACUUAUCGAACGCCAUAGCCUUGUGCUGGGCGUAGAUCAUUCAAAUUUCUGCCCUAUCAGCUUUCGACGGUAGUGUAGUGGACUACCGUGGCGUUAACGGGUAACGGGGAAUA